RNAcentral lists this ribosomal RNA (468 nucleotides) under uncultured bacterium. RNAcentral's name for it is "partial 16S ribosomal RNA". It matches the Rfam family "Bacterial small subunit ribosomal RNA", at positions 28 to 507 of the family's 1533-position model. The record is from RNAcentral.
GACGAACGCUGGCGGUGUGCUUAACACAUGCAAGUCGAACGGUAAGGCCCUUUCGGGGGUACACGAGUGGCGAACGGGUGAGUAACACGUGAGUAACCUGCCCUCAUCUCUGGGAUAACAGUCGGAAACGGUUGCUAAUACUGGCUAUGAGCUUGCACGGCAUCUUGUGGGUUGGAAAGAUUUUUUUUGGUUGGGGAUGGACUCGCGGCCUAUCAGCUUGUUUGUGAGGUAGUGGCUCACCAAGGCUUCGACGGGUAGCCGGCCUGAGAGGGCGACCGGCGACAUUGGGACUGAGAUACGGCCCAAACUCCUACGGGAGGCAGCAGUGGGGAAUAUUGCACAAUGGACGGAGGUCUGAUGCAGCAACGCCGCGUGCGGGAUGACGGCCUUCGGGUUGUAAACCGCUUUCAAGUGUGACGAAGCUUUUUUGUGACGGUAGCAGUAGAAGAAGCACCGGCUAACUACGUG